CCGGAGAGUAUACAAGAACUAAACUUGUUGCUUUUCCUUGUUGCAAGUGCAACACACUUAGAGGAUGCCAGGCUUCUUCCUGCCAAGCUGAAACAGGCUGAAAACCACAUUGAAACAUGGGAAAUUGCAGCUACCCCAGAUGGCAGAUGAGGAUUGUUUGCAGGCUCCCCUGGCCCUCCCCUCGAGGCCGGUUACAGUUGGAUGAAGGUUAUGGACAGGGGCUGGCAAAGCAAAGAGUCACUGUGCUGCUGUGAGACUGGGAUGAAUGGACUUUGACAAUACUGCUGAAUAGGAGUGCUUGUGGAGCCAGUACAAACAAUCUGUAAUUGUCAGAGCUGAAAAGUAAAAACAUGAUUAUGAACUGCACACAGGAUCAGCUUAUGUCAGCUUUAAAUGAUUUAAAAGUCUAGUGUCUGGAGCCGCAUCUCACUUGCCUGUAAAACUCCUUAAAGAGGACUUACAUAACCGUACAAGCAUGUCUCUCCCUUCUUGUGUGCAUUGUGAAAACUAACCCUUUGUCUAGCACUCAGAAGGCAGUUUUUAAGACAGAUAAAUCAGGAAACAGGGGUUUUCUUGAUUUAAAUGGAGGAGAUGCUUGCCUUGUCAGAGCAGCACUUUCAGAAAGCCCUGGUUAUCCUUGCUCUGUGCAGGAAGGGCUCUCAGUAACCAGGUGUUGAUGCAGCCCUGGUCUCCUGGCAGCUUCAGAACCUGGAUGGAUGUGACACGAGUUUCUAAAUGCAGCAAACUUCCUUGAGAAGAGAAGGAGCACAAGAAAGCCUCUUCUGUUACCUAGAGCCAACCAUCAUUACGCCUGACCCUAGCUCAUUACCCCUCCAUGUCUGCAGCAGAUGGUGACCUUAGGUGGCACUGCACAACACUGAGCGAGGAGAUGCCUUCCUUGUGACUGUGGUUCCUGAAUGCCAAACGCUGCAUCUUCUUCCCCACUAUGCGUCCAGCCUUCCUCUAUGCCAACACACCCACAGAAAUUAAAGUACUACUGUGUACUACUAAGCAACACUAUUACACAGUGGGCUACAUUUCCAAUUUUGCCACAAAUGCUUCCCAUCACCCAGCAGAAUGGAGUAGAAUGGAAGCAACUAAUUUACCAUGUAAUAAGAUAGGGUCCUGUUGACACAAGUCAAGGGCAAAACUAUUAAGUCAUUAGGGCUAAUGUUGUUACAUUCUGAUACAAAGGCAGCCCAGGCCUUUCAGAUGUACAUCUGACCUCUGAGGAUUAAGUUUCUUCACAGCUUAUUGUUGGUACAGAAAAUGUCUUCCCCCCCCCUCCCCCCUCUUCUGCUUCAGACACAUUGAUCUUUGGCCCUGUGCUACGUACAGCUUGCAGAUCUGCUUCUGAAGUCCUGAUUUGCCCCAGUUUCAUCAGAAAUAAUAAUAGCAAAGGCGUCACA
Tympanuchus pallidicinctus (lesser prairie-chicken) is the source of this 1409-nucleotide long non-coding RNA. RefSeq lists it as uncharacterized. The record is from RefSeq and is a predicted model, not a curated record. NCBI's taxonomy places the organism in Eukaryota, Metazoa, Chordata, Aves, Galliformes, Phasianidae. The transcript has 2 exons.